GCUAAACUAUUUUUGCGAUGUGUUCCUAAUAUGCUAUAUAAAUAUAUUGGGAGCAUUUUGCAUGCAUGGUUCAGUAUC
RNAcentral lists this microRNA precursor (78 nucleotides) under Pteropus alecto (black flying fox). Its description in RNAcentral is "mir-450 microRNA precursor family". It matches the Rfam family "mir-450 microRNA precursor family". The record is from Rfam by way of RNAcentral. Lineage: Eukaryota; Metazoa; Chordata; Mammalia; Chiroptera; Pteropodidae.